Molecule: ribosomal RNA, 465 nt
Filed under: uncultured Magnetococcaceae bacterium
Lineage: Bacteria; Pseudomonadati; Pseudomonadota; Magnetococcia; Magnetococcales; Magnetococcaceae
Description: bacterial SSU rRNA
Rfam family: Bacterial small subunit ribosomal RNA
Source: RNAcentral
AACGAACGCUGGCGGCACGCCUAACACAUGCAAGUCGAACGGUAACGGCUCUUCGGAGGCCGACGAGUGGCGGACGGGUGAGUAACGCGUAGCUACCUGCCCUCUGGCGGGGAUAACAGUUGGAAACGACUGCUAAUACCGCAUAUCUCCUACGGGAGAAAGACCUUCGGGUCACCAGAGGAGGGGGCUGCGUUGGAUUAGCUAGUUGGUAAGGUAACGGCUUACCAAGGCGACGAUCCAUAGCUGGUCUGAGAGGAUGAUCAGCCACACUGGGACUGAGACACGGCCCAGACUCCUACGGGAGGCUGCAGUCAAGAAUUUUCCUCAAUGGACGAAAGUCUGAAGGAGCGACGCCGCGUGACCGAUGAAGUCUCUAGGGAUGUAAAGGUCUUUUCUGAAGGAAGAAACCAUGACGGUACUUCAGGAAUAAGGGGUUGCUAACUCUGUGCCAGCCGCCGCGGUAAU